UUAGUUUCCGGACUUGGUACUACAAAACCAUAGAUUGUCUUAAUGGCUUGUAAAUGUACCUAAGUAGUCUCAUCCUCACAAUCUUCCUAUUGAUAAUGUAUCAUUAGAAGAAUAUGUUAGAAAAGGUCUAUCAUAAAGAGGACAACACUUUUAAUGUCAUAAUUCUUCAAUUACAAUUUGUUGUAUGAAGAAAUAAGAGUUGCUUUGAACAACUCCUUAGUCAAUGCAAACACUUAGUGCUUGUUUCUUUGUUACAUGAACAAGGAACUUGAGAAGAAAGCACAAAGGCAUGGACACUUUAUGUGCCAUGAUUCUUCACUUACAAAUUGUUGUAUGAAGAAAUGAGAGUUGCCUUGUAACAACUCUUGAAAGUUUGUAAUUAUGUUUAGAACAUAAUGGUUGGUUGACAAAAAUAGUCCAUCAACAUGGACUUAUGAUGAUUUUGAAUCAUUGAGUGUUGAAGUGAUAAACCACUUAACGAGACGGAAACUAGGCAAGGACUUCACCUUUGUGUCCCUAUCCUAAUGGUUCACUAAGUUUAUUGUAAACUAUGUAGUGAACAAUAAACCACAUGCUCUCCAAAAUUGUUUGAUGUGUAUAACACAAUUGAAAUAAGUUUCAAGAGAGAUAGUGGGAGUUUAGGGACCAUGACUAAUUGUAGUCAAAGGUGAAAGUCAAAUGAAGAAGAUAAAUAACUCCAAGGGAACAAACUUUCUUUAUGAAAGGAUGGACAUUGGAAGGGGUAUUUGCAAGAAAUGUCUUGCAAGUGUCAAGAACACACCUUUCGAAGGUGUUGUAAAUUGUUCUUGAAAAGUUCAAAACAGUUGGUUCUUCUACUUGAAUGCUUGAUUCCGUAUUAGUAACUAUGUUUUACAAUCGUUGUAAAAGUGUGACUAAUAAGAAGUAGAAGAUAUAUGAGAGAAGAGAAAGGUGCUUCACAUUCGGAAACGUGAAUCAAAAUGUAGAUCUCUGCGAAAGCAGAUAGUACUUACUUCCUCAUAUGAACUACCAAAGAAAUUGGAAAAACAAAGAUUGUCUUUACAUUCCAAUUUUAAGGAACUAAAAUUCCGUCACUAUAGUGAAAUGGAUAAAUGUUUUGUUUGACAAAACAUUGUUCUUUAUUAAUCAAUGAUUGGAUUAUGGUAAUCUAAUUGAUUGUCUCUAUAGUAGAGAUGAUAUGGUAGUGUUAACUGUUUAGAAUAUAAUGAUGCUUAAAACCCAAAAGGUUGCAAGGUAGUGACUAAUCCCAACUAAAGUUGUGAUACCUCUAAAACAUAAAUUACGAGUUGGUCAUAGAUGGAUGCUUUGGAUCGUUAGAUCCGGAUCCAAUACCUUCUUGUUAAAAUUGUAUAGAGGCGAAAUGUUCGAAUCUUUAUUCUUUUGGAAAGAAGAAAAGAAUCACAAAGUUGUUGAGGUUAAUUCACUUAGAUGUUAGUGGCACUUGUCACAACAUAAUACUACUCAUGUUGAAUGACAUUCACCGAAGAUCACUCUCGGUUGGACUAUAGUUUAUUUUGAAUAAACACAAGUCCGAAUACUUUGCAAAAUGGUUUCAAAGAAUUCAAGAAAUGUAAGUUGAUGAGUAAGACGUCUAAAGUAUUUACCUCCUUAGAUUUGAUCCAAGGAAAGGUAACACUUUAGAUAAGUUUCCUUGAAAGAUAUCAAGGAAAGAAGCAUCAUAAGAUAAUAAUUUUCUCCAUUAGGAGAAGAACGAACUUGAAUAAGAUUUAGUUCGUUAGGAUGUUAUCUAUUACCCAUAUAUAGGAUAUAUACUUCUAAAAACAAUAUGAUUGUCAAUUAGAAGAUCUUCCAAAAUUUUCAUGACUCCAUAAGAUGUAGUUGGAAAAGAAAGACAAAUCUUAAGCAUGUUAAGAUUUGGGGUUGUGUGCUAAUAAAGCAAUAUUUGUUUGAUAACAAUCUUGUGGGAUAUCCUUAAAAUUAACUUUUGGAUAUCGCUUCUAUAAACCAACUAACAAAUGUUGUUUUGUUGGGUAGUUCAUUGUAAUCCUACAAUGUGAUUUGCCUAAAAGCAAAUGAACGAGAGAUAGAACUCAAAGAAUGGGUUCUUUGAGAGACAAGAAAGUAAUCAACAAAUAUAACAACCUAGUUCCUAUACCACAAAGCUCCAAGGUAGUCGAGAAGGAUUUAUAAACCGUCUCAGUUGAAUGGUUUUGAACUUUAUGACUAUGUCAUAGAGUUGCACCUCUUAAUUCGAAAGAAAUAAGAAUGAAAAUCCUUAUGACUACAUUGAGUGUAUAUACGAUAUAUACUCAAGGAAAUGGUAAAGUACCAUUUGACCCGAAAUAAUGAAACCUUCAAAAGCUAAUUGGUAGCUUAAGGUGACUACAAUCAAAGAGAAUGGUUGACUUUGAAAGAAACCAUUUUUGACGUAGUCUUAGUUUCAAUUAAUUCGAAGAUUGCUAGCUACAACUAAAUGGUGAUUCAAUGUUUGGACAUAAUAUGGGUUUCCGAAACCAUUAUUAAGAUAGUCUUGAUAAUAUAUGUCUAAAACUAUAAAUCACAAGACAUGUAAGUUGUAGAGAUCCAUCCAUCAUGGAAUCUUAGCAAGCUAGUGGGAGCUAUAAGCAUCUUAUGAGAAAAAGGAUCAAAUCGUUUGAUUUCUCAUAAAGAUGUAAAUGAAUCUUUUGUUUACUAGGUUUACAAAAGAUUAGUGGGAGUUAAUCAUGUUCCUAAAAAUUUAAAUAUAUAUGAUAUAUUAAUUUUGGAAAUGAAAAGAAUACUUCUUCGUUAAAGUUAUGACUUUAAACAUUAUAUGAAGAUAGAAUGUAUAUGGGAGAUAUAGUCUAUAUACAUGGGAUGGAAAUCUAUAAUGAUAUAUUUCAUGAUAUAAUUGGAUUAUAUCAAUCCCUAAUAAUAGACAAUGGAUGCUAGGAAGUUUCUCAUAUGAUGAUAAACUUCAAUAGAAGGACGAUUCUAGUGAGACUAGCAAGUUGCCCUUCUCAAAGGGAACGUACCCUUUGACUCCCAAAGAAAUAAUGCGUAAAUAGAAUCCUUUAUGCAUACGCAGAAAGGUGAUUUAUGUAUUUCAUAUUGUAUGAAAAACAUUGAUAUGAGUUGUACCUAGAACGGUACAAGACGAUAUCAGUGCAAGCCCAGGAUCAGAACCAUGGCAACUGUCAAGUGAGUCCUUAAGUAUUUGAGAAAUACUAAAGGAUAAAUUCCUCAAAGAAUGAGGAAGAAUUAGAGUAACGUAAGGGAAGCGUAAAUGUAUUAGAUUAUGAAUCUAAUCCAUCAUUGGAUGUUUCUUCAUUAUGAAUGAAGAGAUAAACGAAUAUCUCUUUAUUAUGACUAAAGAGAUAUUUGGAUGGAAACAUUAAAGUAAUGACUUUAGUGUGUUCCAUUAUGAAUGCAAGAUAUAUUGCCAUAUAGAAGUUUACAACAAUGUUGUUUGGAUGGGAAAGUUCAUUUAUGAACUCUCUAUUCGGUUCCAACCAGAAAGUGUUUGACACUAAUGGGGCGAUAGCUCAAGCCUGGGAAUCAAGGUCUCAUCAAGAUCCGAACACAAAUGAGAGACUGAACCACAUGAUUGAGAAUCAUGUAUAAUGGUGACGUCGUUAUUCUCAAGGUUGCUUCUGUGGAUAACACAUAUAGAUAUCCACUGUCUAGGCCUACUAUUCAGCCAUUUAUGAAAUGACUACAGAAGAGAUAUCAUCAUUGAUGAUCAAGCUGAUUGGCUCUAGUGCAAGUGGGAGAUUGUUGGAAAUGUACCCUAAAGCCAAUCAUGUGAUGAUACUUUACGGACAUUUCACAUGUUAAACUAAUCUAGUUUAACAUAUAAAGGGCAUAGAUUAUUGUUUGAGCCGUCUCAUAUAAAUGUUAUAUGCUUAAACGAUAAAGUCCAAGGAAUUUGUGAUUGAGAGAAUGUAAUCUAAUGAAGUUAGAUUCUUGAGACCAUUCUUUCGUAGACACAUCCUAAACGUUCCUGAUCAUAGGAUUGCCAAUUGGGCAUUGACAGUCCGUCAAGAUCGGUACGUACUAUGUCUUCUCUCAGGGAGAGUGAUUAGUCUCGAAUCAUUGGUGUGUGUGACAUCAAGACAAGUACGGUAGGUGCUCAAUAGAGAAUGAGUUCACUGAACGCGAUCAACGAAGAGUUCUCAUAUUCCAUGUCACAUAAGAACUCAUGGUUGGGAUAAUGCAAAGUAGUCCUUUGACCUGAGGCAUCAUAGUUGUCUUGUGGUUAAGACCUUGAUCUUUGAUUAUGUCAAAGUCAUCCCACCAGGAGGGUGUCCACGGCAUCGUUGGGGUCAAGCCGCUUAGCUAUGGAGACAAGUGAAUGCGCAACAAGGGAUCUCUAACCUUCAAACCGUUUGAGGGAGAAUACUCUCUGAUAUGAUUUGAAUCUUUGGCCAAAGUAUGAAUGAGAUUAGGGAAUGCGUUCCGAAUCACAUUCAAGGUAAUCAUAUAAAGCACAAGACACACAUUGGAUAGUAGACAUGAGAAAAUAAACUAUCAAACCAAACAAUGUGGUCAAGAGUAUUAGAUUAGAGAAGGACCGUAUUGCAUUUGUAAUCUCGAACUGAAUAGGUUCUCUCUAACCUCUUCUGAUUAGCUUGGGUAACCAUGAUAUGCUGCUAGGUGUCACUCAUGGUUUGUGGAAGCCCUAAACGUGUAUAAUCACUAAAGGGAGAAUUGAAAAUGUUUCAAUUCACAAUCGAUGUAAAAUGGUUUUAAUCGCCCACUACCUCGCUAAAAGGAACCUAAUGGAUCGCACACCGUGAAAGGUGGAGAUUGGAGAUUAAAUGGAAAUGAGUAAGAAUGAUUAAAUGGUUUAAUCAUUGAUUUAUGGCAAGGAUUAAUUAAUAUGUUAAUUAAUCAAACGAAUAAGUUCGUUAAAGACUUCGGGAUAGUUUUGGACCUUAAGGCCCAAUGGGCUUCGAACGUCAAGCCCAUUAACUUAAGUUGUAUGACAAUUUAAUGAAUGAAGAUUCAUUAAAGCCCAAAAGCCCAAAUCUCAUAAGGUGGCCGGCCAUAUUAGAUGAAUUAGGGUUGUUUGGUUAUUUAGGUCACUUAAAGAAGUGACUAUAUAAAUGACUUUAUAACUAAAUAUUCAUUAAGUGAAUUAAGUGAAAAAUGGGUUUAUUUUGGGGGAAAUGGGUGAGAAUUGUCUCUCCAUUUUCUCUCUAAAGAGGCCAACACCUUGGAGGGUACAUCUAGCAAUCCUACUACUCCAAGGUCACUCAUUUCUUCUGCAAUCGAACCUUGGUGUCGAGAAUUAGAGGUUCUCAAUUUUGGGAACUUGGAGAACCUAUUCUUCCAUCCAAAUCCAUGGAUCUAAGAAGCAAGGAAUGAAGGCCCUUAUCUCUUUGGGUGAUUAGCUUUUGCUUAUGCAAAGAGGAAUCUACAAAGGUAUUAAUUUCAACUCACUUUGUUUUUGAGUUGAUUAUUGGUUCACCAAUCUACUAGGCUUUGAAUUUCAUGGGUAAAUGUUUUGUUUUUGAGUGCAUGUAAGCAUGAUUCUGCCUUUAAUUGUUAAUUGCAUGCUAUAUGAUGUUGCUCAAAUGAACAUGUUUUACAAAAUAAAUCCUUCAGUGCCUAUGCCCAAGCCUUGGGAGUGUUGGAGCGUUUCUAGGUGUUUUCUAUCUUUGUUUUUAAUGUCUAAAUUUAUGCAUCUUUGCUUUGUAAGUAUGAGGAACUAAACCCCUCUUAGUUAGGGGGUGAUUCGAAACUAUGUUCAUGCUUGCAAUAUGAUUUGAUUACAUCCAGUUGUGAUUCAUAAGUUGUGAAUUCAAUUUACUUAUCCGUUCGUAUAAAAACUGAUUUGUGUAUGUUGGUUGAGAGUGCACGCUUAAUUUUCAUGCAUGAAUUUGACGCUAGAAUAUAAGGGAGUUUCACCUAAUCGUUAUGAACUUAUAUUCACAAGUAGUGAAGGUUGCUAGUCACAAUCACGUUAAGUAAAUUCUUGGCAUAAGUUUCAUGCAAAUCAUAGUAACGAGUAUCUCGUCAAUGCUUAUGUUUUUCAUAGAACUUAAUGAUUCUUGCUUGUAUCUGCAAUUCAUGUAGGGAACUUGUAGGGAAUGUUUUGGGUUGUCGUAUGCAAUCAUCCAACCUAAUAACUUGUGGAAAAACUGAGGGUUAAUUAGUGCAAUUCACGGUUAAUUUGGGGCGUUGAGUAUUCAUAGUUUAUCGAAAAGCAACUGGAAAUCAUUUUGUAUGCAAGUGUGACAUGUGUGGAGAAGAACCUCCUAGCUAGCCUUCCAUCCAUAAGUUUAAUUCAAAUUCAUUUACAAUCUAUUUUGUUUUACAAAGUUUGUUUUGUUUUCAAAUUCGUCAAGAACCAAUCUCCCAUUUAUUUCAAAGUGUUAGAUUAGUUAGUAAUCACUUUAGUUUGUGUUUUUAAGGCAGUUUUGAGUGUUUAUUUGCUGUUUUGAAUCUUUUUGUUUAUCUUAGUAUUUUAAAGUAUAGUUUUACAUUCUUUGAGUCUAGUUUAGUGUUUUAAACUUUGUUUUUACGUUUUCAAGUCAGUUUCCAAGUGAUUUAGCAAUCCCUCCUAAUCCCCGGCCUAGAACGAUCCCUACUUACAUACUUUACUACAUUUGAUAAAAAGAGGGUUUAAUUUGUGUGCUUAUAUAUUUCGCAUCAGAGUACUUGCCCUAGUCGAAGUGUCUGAUGGGCUCGAACUAAGUUGCAAUAGACCUCAUGCGAGAGGACUACGAAUUGAAUUUGAGGUGAAGUGUUGAACCACACGGAGUUCCGAAGUUGAACUUUUAUAUUUUUUUUUCUAGGGAUGACUUGCCCCCAGUGUACUUCUUCCUAACUUGUCAGAGAAGUUGUGUUGUUAUUAGAGCUAAUGGCUACACGAGAUGGUGUUGGACUAGGUCAACCGUCGCAGGUUCUUAAAGAAAGAAAGGAUGUGCAAUCAGAACAUAUACCCUUUCAAAAAAUGAUAUCAAAUAGUCAGAUAAGAUACUAAACAAAAUAAAGAAAGGUAUUAGAAAUCCUCACUUUUGGUGUCUUCUGGAAAAUCUAGGCCUGGGUCUUGUGAUAAGACUCUCCUUCGCAUCAUAUGGAGUCCAGGUUCGUGACUCUUCAAUGUGAUCGUCAUCCUUGCUUUUCUUUUGGCUAACGGAUAGGAUUUUUACCGUCAAAUCAACUUCGAUUUGGUCCAAAAUGGUCUCUUUUUAAAGCUUAACACGUCCUCAACAAAUCUUCAUAAGAAACCUUUCUCGAAAUAUGCCAUCUUGAUCUUCAAAACAUCCAAAACGUCUAGAAACAUCAAUCUAAAAAAGUUUCACGUUGGGCCUUCUUUUCUUUGCCAUGAUCAAACGGCUUGGAAUUAAAUUAUGAAAUUUUGACUCGAUUAUCUUGUAAGACUAACAAUUCCAUUCCAACUAAAAUUACUCCAAAAGUCCUCCAUUUGAUCACUUUCCCCAAGGUAGAUUCACACGUUGAUAAAGUGAUUUGGGCAGGGGAAUAUGAAUUCACUCUCAAUGAAAGCACCAAUUGUUGGAACCAAAUUUGCACACAUCCACAGACGGAGGCGAGAACCAAGUUGGAAUUGUCUAUGAAUCUGGAAACGACUUGACGAAUAGCCUAUGGAGAGGCGCCGAGAGAUGAGUUCUCCGUAGACGUGUCUACGGGUAGAGGAGGUGUAAUGGCCUAUGUUAGUGAUAGGAGCAUAUUUAUGCCACUUAGUAUGUUUGUUUUCAUGCAUUUAUGUUCUUAGUUCUUAGUUAUGUUAGUAGUUUAAGCCAUUUUUGUGUGUUUGUAGGUUCUAUGGGCCAAGGAUGCAAGAAGAUGCAUUUUGGAGCAUUUUUGGGCCAAGAUUGGAUGGUGCAAACAUGGAGACAUGAGGAUGGACGAAUUUGAUGAUUCAAAGGGCUAGAAAUCUGCAUGUGUGUGUGCAAAGUGUUGGCCUACAACUUCAAACAUCAUAGCUGCCAUGUGAUGGCAGAAAAUGUGUUUAUUGCUAGCUAAAUGGAUGAAGAACAUGUAUGUGCAAGUAUAAACACCACAUGGGCAGCAAGAAGGAAAGAAAACAGCAACACACACACCACAUGGGCAGCAAGGAAUCAGAAAUUAAAGCAUGGAAGAGUGGGAAGUGAUGAGGACAACACAAACACACACACACAUGCACACUCACGGCAAGAAGAAUGGAAUCAGCAAAGGGGAGUGAAUGGACAGCAGAAAAGCAAGGAAAUUGGACCACUAUGAAGUGGAUUUCUUGUUGGUCUCCCACUUAUAGCUUUGGGUGGCUUUGGAAUGAUUAUUUCUAGGUGGAAAGAGCACAAAAACAGCACACACACAUGCAAAACAAAGCUGGCAGCAUCCUUCCCUUCAUUGCCGUGGGUUUUUGUGUGUCCAUUACCUUGCAUUUCUUUUCAUUUCCAACCUCUAUAUAAGCACCAUUCAGCCUUCAAGGAAGACACACAGAAAUUCAUACAUUUACAUUAGUUCCAAGGCUUGCAAAGAAGGAGGAGUGCUUGGAGUUGUGCUAGCCAUUCCAUUGGAGUUGUUGGAGCAUUCUAGGUGUAUUCUACUUUGUUUUUCUAUGUUUAAUAUCAAUUGUUUUUGUUUAAUUGCAAGUAUGAGGAACUAAUCCCCUACUUGGCUAGAGGUUAAUUCAAAGCCAUGAAUAUAUUUGUAAUAUGAAUUGAUUACCUUCAGUUGUGAUUUAUAAGUUGUGAUUUAAUUUGCUUAACUGCUUGAUUGAUAACUUAUUUUUGUAUGUCGAUUAAGAAUGCAUGCUUAAUUUACAUGCAUGAAUUUGAUGCUAGAAUAUAAGUGAAUUUCACCUAAUCGUUAUGAACUUAUAUUCAUAAGUAGUGAAGGUUGCUAGUCACAAUCACGUUAAGUAAAUUCUAGGCUGGAUUAACAUGCGUAUUCCAUAGUUAUGAAUGCCUAGUCAAUGUUUAUGAUUUCCGUUGAACUUAAUGAUCUUUGUUGAAUGUCUCUAUCAUGCGUAUUCCAUAGUUAGGGACUUUGAUGAGGAAUAAUUUGGUUGUAAUGCGUAUUCCAUUCAAUCCAAUGAAUCUAGGGAAAUCUAAGAGUUAAUUUAAGCGGACCUAAUUAACUUGGAACAUUGUCUUUCACAAUUUAUUGAAAGAACAACUGAAAAUCAAUUUAGGUUGCAUAUGUGUCAUGUGUGUAGAAGAACCCUCUAGCUAGUCUAUCACUUAUCCUUUCACCUUAAUUUCAUGCUUUUGUCAAUUCUGUAAUUUAUUUAAGUUUAAUUUACUUCUCGUCAAAACCAAACCCCCCCCCAUUAUUAAAUUAUAUUAUUUAGUUAGUGUUCAUUGUUGUUAGUCUUUUAAUUCAAUUUCCGUCCAUUUUAGUUCCUAGUGUCUAAUUUGAUUGUUUUCAUUAUUUUGAGUCAUUCUAAGUGUGUAUCGAGUUAUUAGAGUUUUUAGCCUAGUUUUGUGUCCUUGAGUCUUGUUUAAUAUUUUUAAAUUAAUUUAGAAUAGAUUAGCAAUCCCUCCUAAUCCCCGGCCUAGAACGAUACCCUACUUACAUCUAUACUACAAUUGUCAAAAAGAGGGUUUAAUUUGUGUGUCAAGUAAUUCUCACAUCAAUUAGGCAUGGAUAGAUUAAGUGUGUAUAUGUCUGAGAACAUGGGCAAAGGGAGAUGUGUUUGUCUAAGGUAGUCUUAUAAAGAAAAAAGUGAUUGUCCUGUGAUAAAUACUCAGGCUAGUGUAUUUAUAGGGAUCUUGAAAGUCCUCGUAGGGAAGUAAUCUUCAUCAAAUCGGAAGACUAUCUAGGAGGAAAUCUAGGAUAAGAUACCCAAUCUUUCUGGAAUCUUAAUUAUGUUGUCUAAUCCCUAGAAUCUUAAUUAUGUUGCCUUUUCCUAACGCAAGCAUUCUUGUCAAUUCAGUUUUCCACCAUUGCAAUAAUUUCCUGUCGGGUUUUACCUAAUAGCCGACAGUAAUUAGCUUUUCUUGUUGUUUUCAUUUAUGGCAAUAAUGGAUAGUUUUGUAGUAGUGAGACAAGUAAUAUCUUUAAGCUUAGGCCUAGUCUAUCUGACUUUACUUGGUAUUCUAACUUUGUUUCACUAAGGCUAGUCCGAGUCUAACUAAGGUUGGUCCCAAUCUGACUAGGGCUACUUCGAAUCUGACUAAGGCUACUCGAAUCUUACAAGGGCUAGUCCUCUCUGACUAUAAAGUAAUUUGUUCUGAUCCACAUCAAGCCUAUCAGCUUGUUCACCCAAAUAUCACAUGUUAUAGGCAUUCAAGUCUUUCUUGCCACCAAAGACAUAUACCACAUGUCUUGGGUCUAGAAAAUCAUGGUCCCAUGCAAUUCACUUUGAUUCUUACUGGUUUUCCUUUUUGCUGACUCUCGCUCGUUUCUGUAUAUUAUCGUACCUUAUUAGUUUUUCUCUUUCUCUAUUUGCAAUAUUAGGUUUGCAAGGGUGACAAAUGCUGCAAAUCUACAUAUAUUUAAUCUUUCUAGCAUUAGAAAUCACGAGGCUUGGUCAACAACACAAGGAUAUUGCCGCUAAGAAGCUGCACCCUUCUGCAAAUUGAGUACUGGGUAUCAAAAGGUCAUUUCAAAAGAUCUUAGGUGGUGGUGCUUCUCCCCCAUUGUUGUUCGCAUCUCAAUACUACCAUUUUGUUAGCAGUCCAGAUGUAGCUGGUGGUAAUAAUUCAAAAUUUCAAACUUAAUUAUAUUUUCAAUUGACUUUCGAAUGCGAACCAUAAUUUAAGAAAAAAAAGUCAAGCACAAAUAUUUUAUUGUUAAAAACUUAUCUCCUGAGGAAAAUUUUAAUAGGCUUUUUAUCACAAAUAGUUCCUGAAAUUAACACACCCAAUCAAGGUGGUCCCUGAAAUUGAAAAUCAAUCAAUGUACUCCCUGAAUAUUACUGCUGAAAAUCAAUGUGGUCCUUCCGUUAAAUUUCCGUCAAAACUUAUGUUAAUGGCUGACAUGGCACAUGUGGGAUCCAAUAUAAUUAAAUAUUCCCAGCUACUUCAGCUGGUUCUCGCUGAACCACGUCCACCAUUGCGAGGUUAGAUUCCUCCCUCCGUCUGCAGCGCAGCUGCUACCAUGUCCACGAUAUCGAGCCUAGUCCGUGGUGUUGUUAGGGUCGCCCGAGAUUGAGUGAGCACCCUACUCCACUGCACCCUUCCUCCCUCCCUGCAAAUCCAAAUCCAAAUUCGUGCAAAUCCAAACCACCACCAUCCAAAUUCCUGCAAAUCCAAACAACCACCAUCUUUUAAAUAAAUUUAAAAAUGAAAAAAAGAACAAAGGAGAUCGAACGAUCUCCUUCCCCCUCCGACCCAAUCUGGUAAUCCCUUCCACACACCACCCUGCUCUCUUGAUUACUCCCUUUGAUUACUCCUGCAUUUUUUUGUUUUUGGAAGAACCAAAACAUGCAAGAAACCAACCCAUGAUUUCGACCUCUCUUUCCCUCCUCUUGGUCUCUCAAAGAUUGUGUGUUUCUGCAAAACAUAGAGGGGAAAAUGGUGGCUUGGUGCUUGGGUUGGGUGUUCACAAGUCACAGCCUCUUGGGUGCUCACAUGGCAGCAUUUGAGCUGCAGACGAAGGGAGGAAUCGGACCUCGCAAUGGUGGACGUGGUUCGGCGAGAACCAGCUGGAGUAGCUGGGAAUAUUUAAUUAUAUUGGGUCCCACAUGUGCCAUAUCAGCCAUUAACAAAAGUUUUGACAGAAAUUUAACGGAAGGACCACAUUGAUUUUCAGCAAUAAUAGUCAGGGACUAUAUUGAUUGAUUUUCAAUUUCAGGGACCACCUUGAUUGGCUGUGUCAAUUUCAAGGACUAUUUGUAAUAAAAACCCUUUUUAAUACUAAAUGUUUACUGAAAGCAAUCGCAACUAUCAAAACGUUGUGGCAAACUUAAAGGAAACCAUAAGCUUGAGCAUUCAAUAUUUUGUUUUUACAAGUUGGAAUGAUAAUAUUGUUCCAAUCAAUACAAUUACAUUCUUGUGGAGUGUGAAAGACUUGAAGUUGGAAUGUUUGUUUUACUAUGAUUCUAGGGAAGUUGUUAAACUUGAUUUAUUUAUUUUUUUAAUAUUGAAAAUUUGAAAUAUUUAUUUAAAAAAAAAAAAAGAAGCGUACCACCAAAUCGAACCAAAUUCAACCCGAAUUAAAAAAAAAAUCAAAUGAAAAACUAAACCAAAUAGUGACUUUAAUUCGAUUUUUGGUUUUUAGUUUUUAGUUUUGACAAAAAACCAAACCAAACGGAACCGAACAUACCCCUAUCGUCCAUGAGAUUUAAAUUUGUUAUUCUCCUCCAACAAGUGUUUAAAAUCAUUGUUUCAUUUAAAAUUUUCAGAAGAAAAUUGCACACAAAUCAGACUCUAUGAUCAGGACAACAAUGCCAGUAACAAGCCCUUGUAAAAAAAUUCUUGCAAGAUUUGUUAAAUUUAUUCUUAAAAUAUUUAAAUUAUAUAUAUAUAUAUAUAUAUGACUAAUAAUUUCGUGAUAUAUCAUAACAAAUCCCAUCGGAAUCCAAUCCUCUUCCGCCUCCACAACCACCGUCCCUUAUUGAUCUGUACAUUUAUCCGACUACCCAAAUGAAGUUAUGCCAUGAGAUUCAAGCCCAUGUGAAAUUUUGACGAGUUGGGCCGGAGCCAACCGUGCGAAGCUCCCAAAACUGUUGUAAACGACCGAAUAGGGUUCCUUGGAAUCCAACCAAUUUAGACUAGGGGUGAGCAUGGGCCAAGCUGAGUCCAAGAGUAAUGCUUGUUUUUAUGUUCUACUUCCUCACUACAAAUUCCUAACUAUAACAAAAAUGCAGGAAAAAAAAACCCCAAAUCUAGAAUUUGAAUCCACUUAAGUUCCUAACUAGAACCAAAUGCAGAAAAAACCCAAAUCAGAGAAAGAAUAACAAAACCCAAAAUUAAGUAAAUAGUGAUAGUCAAUCAACCUUCAAUAAACUCGACAAAUCUCCUCAGAGGCUCAUAAGCUCGGAUCAAGCAAACCAAUAUCAACGGAGAUGGUGGUUGGUGGUCAAGUGGCGGAUGGGAGGUAUCUCGAUUGACAGAGAUGGUGGUUAAAUGGUGGGUGGGAGGGACCUCGAUCGACAGAGAUGGUGGUGAGGUAGUGGGUGGGGACCUCAAUCGACAAGGAAGAGGCUGAGGCUAAUAGUAGGGGUUCAAAUCCGACUUGAGAGUCUUACCCCACCAGAGGAUGUUACAUGGGUAAAACACUUGCCAGCUGAGACUCGAACCGUUGCAUACCCUGACCACCUUUGCUUGCUGAUCUUUUUAUGGAAAAGGGCGUUGGUGUAGCAACCCCCACUACUUUUGUCAAGACUAUAGGCCGCAGGUUCCGUUGCCAGCUUGGACAACAGAUCCACAUGGUGGUUAGGUAGUGGGUAGGAAGAACAUUAAUCGACGGGUAGGAAGAACAUUAAUUAACGGGAGCUUGAUCCUAUUUUGAUGUAGUGCAAAUCCACUAAUUUGAGGUGAUACGUCCAUCGAGUUUUGUAUUUUGAGAUGGCUUGUGUCCACGGUAUUUGAAAUGAUUUGUGUUGUCAUUGUCUUUGUGCUUAUACUAUAAAUUUUGUUGACUCGAUUUGACUUAAUGGGUACUUAAGUCUACAAAGUCCACUUUGGUGAGAAUGGUGGGCCCACGGGCUCCGUUUGCAUUUAGCUUUUCGAAAGCUUCCUCAUAUUUUAAUCCAUAGUAAAUUAGGACUCUUAUCUUUGCAUGACUCUUCCACAUGGUUUCAAGUUUUUUCUUUUUUUCAUUUCUUUUUGGUCGAUUCUUUGAGAACGUAGCAGCAGCAACAUUUCCUUCCUUUGUAGUGCCUUCCUUUACUUUGUCUUGAAAUUCAUUUCAUUUUGUAUUCAUGCCCGACUAUAACUCAGCAGCACCGCAACAUAGCAAGUCUUUGCUUUCACAUUGUUUAAUAAAGGUAAGUGGCAGAGCACCAAUUUUUUUUAUAAAUGCCUUUUCAGGCUUUUAUAGUCAGACUUUCUUUCAAAGGAAACUACAUGAUUUUAUGUUACAGCCCGUCCCGAAUUAUAGUUAUCGAUGGCGUGAAAUGACUAAUUUGCCCUUGGACGUCUAGUACGUUAUGUGGUGUUGGGGCUUGAGUUUGAGUUUUAAACUAAAUUAGUUAGUUCCUAAGUUUUUGGAACUUAAAGUUAGUGAUUUUGAUUAUGAUUAGUGACCCAAAACUGGACCACACACUCACACACACAUCCAAACUCCCGUUGACCUUUCUCUUUCCUCCCUCUCUUGGAUUUUCUUCCAUUUCCAUAUAACCUAUACGGACAACCCUCAAACCUUUUCAAUCUUCAUGGAUCGAGGUUGUGAUUGCUAUUUUUAGACUCCUUGCAAGCUCAGGAGUCAAAUGGUGCUAGUGGUUGGACGUGAAAACCUCGAAAACCCAAAAACUCAGAAUCUCAUAUUUUGAGUACUAUUCAUGAACUCGUGAUUUUAAAGUUUUUAGGAGAUUUUAAUCUACUAUAGCUUUAGGACAUCUUCAUGAAGCUCAGAGAAGAAAAAUGAAGUGAAUUGGAUGUCGGGAAGUUGAGUUUGACGAGUCUCAAGUUUGGCCGGAUUAUCAAGGUUCCUUCGGCAAAAUCCCUUGGAUUUUAGGGCUUAAAAUUGGUAAGGUUUUGUUCUACUUGUUGUAAGCUUCAUUUUGGUACAAAUUUCGUGAAUUUUGGUUGAGCAUCGAAGAAGAUAUGAAGGUUUGAUUAUUUUCCAGUUUCCGGGGAGUGUACCGGUGACCGGCGCCGGACUCCAACAAACCAAGGAAGAAUGAGAAAGAUAUUCCAUCAAAGGUGACGAAAUAUUCUAACGUCGUCUGGUAUAAUUAAAGGCAUAUUCUAGUUUUUAAUGGAAUAUUCCCUAACGGCGUUGACUAUUCCGUCCCCUGUGCCAGGCACGUGCCUGUUCGUAGGCCGCACGUCUGGCCGUGUCAUGGCCGGCGCGUGAGGGCACGUGGGGUCAUGGAAUUUUUUUAUAAAAGUAUGGGGAUGUUCUUGAGGUUGAGUAGAUCAUGGUGGUAUAUGAGAAGUUAUUUCCUAAUUUUGUGUAUAUGCUUUUGUUUGGGCCCAAAAUAUUAGUUUGGGCCGAGUAUAGAAUCAUUCUCGGCCCAGGAGGCCUUACCACAGGGAUAUCAUGGAUCGUGGGCCUCCAAACCUAGGACGGCUAGGUCAUAACGCAGGACAAGUCGAGUUCUGGUGCAAUAAGGAGUCUCGGCAGGAUUAAUAACCCGGAAGCGAAUCCGGCUCGAUUAAGGACUAGGUUCACAAUCAUAGAGAAAACAGGACUGGUCGAGUUGGCGUUUGAUCAGGAGAAAAAGACCUACUCCGAGUAGGGUUUUGACUCGACUUUGAAGGUGUCCAGUGCUAUAAAUAGAGGAGGCUGUGCAACGAAUAGGAUCUCCAAUUCAACACACAAAACUGCCCUGCGCAAACUCUCUCAACAACUUUGAGAUUUUUUUUUAUUUUUUCUUUUCACUAACACAUCUUCCGUUGGCAUCAACAGCAUUGUGAAAGCAACCGGUGAUAUCUUAAGUCGGCAUAGAUAGCUCUGUCACCGUAGAAUGAGCCGGUCUCGCAACAUCUUCUGUUGGCAUCAACAGCACUACGGCGAGGACGGUUGAUUACCUAUCCAAGUCUCGGUCGAGAAAGGUUUCUGAAUGCUUAUUGGUCGAGGUCAUCUCAUCAGCCUUCUCGACAAAGUGAGGUGUUACAGUUCUUACAUUCGGCACAUUGAAGGCCGAAUUCGAUUCGUGAACUUUGUAAGAAUAGUAGCCUUGUCUUCAGGCUCGAGAAUCUAAGAGGCCGAGAAGUGUUCCUUUCUCGGCCGCAAUCGCAAGACGCAUAAGUUAGUAGCGCGACCCAACGCAACAUCAACAAAAUUUACUCCUCGGCCGAGCUCGGCCGACGAGUUGGCACGCCCUGCAUUCACCGAAUGACGUACUUAGCUUAUAGAUUACUCGGCCUGCGCGGCACAUAGGCUUGGUAGUUUUUAGGGUCAACAUUUUUGUUGGAAAUGUGCCCUAAAGCCAAUCAUAUGAUGAUACUUUACGGACAUUUCACAUGUUAAACUAAUCUAGUUUUACAUAUAAAAGGCAAAGAUUAUUGUUUGAGCCGUCUCAUAUAAAUGUUAUAUGCUUAAACGAUAAAGUCCAAGGAAUAUGUGAUUGGGAGAAUGUAAUCUAAUGAAGUUAGAUUCAUGAGACCAUUCUUUCGUAGACACAUCCUAAAUGUUCCUGAUCAUAGGAUUGUCAAUUGUGCAUUGACAGUCCGUAAAGAUCGGUACGUACUAUGUCUUCUCUCAGGGAGAAUGAUUAGUCUCGAGUCAUUGGUGUGUGUGACAUCAAGACAAGUACGUAGGUGCUCAAUAGAGAAUGAGUACACUGAACGUGAUCAACGAAGAGUUCUUAUAUUCCAUGUCAUAUAAGAACUCAUGGUUGGGAUAAUGCAAAGUAGUCCUUUGACCUGAGGCAUCACAGUUGUCUUGUGGUUAAGUCCUUGAUCUUUGAUUAUGUCAAAGUCACCCCCUCGGGGUGUCCACGGCAUCGUUGGGAUUAAGCCACUUAGCUAUGGAGACAAGUGAAUGCGCAACAAGGGAUCUCUAACCUUCAAACAGUUGAGGGAGAAUACUCUAUGAUAUGAUUUGGAAUCUCUGGCCAGAGUAUGAAUGAGAUUAGGGAAUGCGUUCCAAAUCACAUUCAAGGAAAUCAUAUAAGCACACGAAUCACAUUGGAUAGUAGACAUGAAUAAAUAAACUAUCAUACCAAACAAUGUGGUCAAGAGUAUUAGAUUAGAGAAGGACCGUAUUGCAUUUGUAAUCCCAAACUGAAUAGGUUCUCUAUCCUCUUCUGAUUAGCUUGGGUAACCAUGAUAUGCUGCUAGGUGUCACUCAUGGUUUGUGGAAGCCCUAAACGUGUGUAAUCACUAAAGGGAGAAUUGAAAAUAGUUUCAAUUCACAAUCGAUGUAAAAUGGUUUUAAUCACCCACUACCUCGCUAAAAGGAACCUAAUGGAUCGCACACCAUAAAAGGUGGAGAUUGAAGAUUAAACUGAAAUGAGUAAGAAUGAUUAAAUGGUUUAAUCAUUUAUUUAUGGCAAGGAUUAAUUAAUAUGUUAAUUAAUCAAACGAAUAAGUUCGUUAAAGACCUCGGGAUAGUUUUGGACCUUAAGGCCCAAUGGGCUUCGAACGUCAAGCCCAUUGACUUAAGUUGUAUGACAACUUAAUGAAUAAAGAUUCACAAAGGCCCAAAAGCCCAAAAAUCCCAAGGUAGGCCGGCCAUGUAUGAUGAAUUAGGGUUUUGGUUCUUUAGGUCACUUAUUUGAAGGGACUAUAAAAAGGACUUUAUAGCCAUAUAUUCAUUAAGUGAUUAAGGGUUUAUUUUGGGGAAAAUGGGUGAGAAUUGUCUCUCCAUUUUCUCUCUAAAGAGGCCAACACCUUGGAGGGUACAUCUAGCAAUCCUACUACUCCAAGGUCACUCAUUUCUUCUACAAUCAAACCUUGGUGAAGAGACUUAGAGGUUCCCUAUUUUUGGGAACUUGGAGAAACCUAUUUUUCCAUCCAAAUCCAUGGAUCUAAGAAGCAAGGAAUGAAGGCCCUAUCUCUUUGGGUGAUUAGCCUUUGCUUAUGCAAAGAGGAAUCUACAAAGGUAAUAAUUUCAACUCACUUUGUUUUGAGUUGAUUAUUGGUUCACCAAUCUACUAGGCUUUGAAUUUCAUGGUAAUGUUUUGUUUUUGAGUGCAUGCAAGCAUGAUUCCGCCUUUAAUUGUUAAUUGCAUGCUAUAUGAUGUUGCUCAAAUGAACAUGUUUUUCAAAAUAAAUCCUUCAAGUGGUAUCAGAGCCUAGGUCUAGUAGUUGGUGAAUCCUUUUGGGUUUUGUAGUUCACAAGUUUAUGAUUUAAAAGUUGUAAUUGUUACAAGCUUUAUUCUUGCUUCUUUGAAUGUAAAUUUUGUUUGAAAAUUUGCCAUCUCAAAUGUUGUAGAUGUAGUUCAUAUGAGGAUGAAUAUUGGAGCUAAAAUUUGGUGCCAUGAUUUGGGGAUUUUCGGCCAAAUCCAAAGGGUGAUUUUUUGGGUUCAUGUUUGUCUUGUUAAAAAUGUUUUAAGGUGACUUUUGGAACCCCUAAGUACCCUAGGAUGUUAGCAUCAUUUUGAAUGAUGAAAAUUUGAGUUUUUUGGCUUGAAAACAUUCAUGGAGCUCUUAUGGGUUUUCAUGGAUGUUCUUCAUUGUUCUUGAUGUUCUUGCCAAGAACAAAAAGGUUUUGUGUUUUGAUUCAAAGUUUUGAUUAUUUCAUAAAGUUUAUGUUAUAUGUUUUUUCAAAUGAUUUAUCAUGUAUUUAAAAUGUUAGAUAUUUGAUUAAAUAGCAAUAGAAAAAUCUAUCAUCAUUAUGAAAGGUAAAAGAAAAGGUGAUAAGAAUUUUCUUUCUUAUGCACUACUUGAUUGUUUUUUUGACAAAACUAAUAAAUCAAAACACCACCACUCCUUUUAUCCCUAAAAACCGGCCACCCUAAUAAAAUAGGGUAUUUUUGGGGCUUUUAUGCAAUUACAUAAAGUUUUUGAUACUUUUGUGUAUUUGUACUUUGACCCGAAAGUUUACGUUUUGACGUUAAGGCCUAAAAACGCUAAAGGACAAAUUGUUUUUGCUCCUUUAAUGAAGUUUUUGAAUUUAUUUAAAUUUUGGGUUCUAGUUGUAUUUACAUGAAGUAGUGACUUUUGUGUUUUUACAAAGUGACCCCAAAAGUUUAUGUUUUCGCAAUAUGGCCCAAAAGGUUGUGGUUAUUGCAUGAUGGCCCAAAUAGGAUGAGAACAAAAUUGUUUUGUUUCUUUUAAAUGAGAAUUGGAUUUUCAUUUUGUUUUAGCUCCACUUAAAUCAAUUUAUGGAUACAAAAAACCAAAUGAAAAUGUUGCAUUCAAUUAAUUAGUUAAAGCGUUAAUUAAUUAAAGGAUGAUUAUGAACCUAAGCCUAAAAUAAUUGAGCUAUGUGAAAGGCGUUUCAAAUUUGUUUGAACCAUGGGAAUGUGUAGAUUAGAUUUUGGUUGUAAUUUUUGAUUUGAUCAAAUGUUGUAAAAGGGCAUAAGUCCUUCUUUACUUUAAGGUAAUUUGUUUUAUGCAAAUGUUGUAAUGAGCAUAAGCUCAUCCUUUACUUUGAAGUAUUUCUUUCUUGCUUUAUAUGAUAUGCAUGAAAAUGAAGUAAUUCGGUCCAACGCCCCUAAGACAACACGCCUUAAUGUGAUUAAACGCGUAACUAAAAUCAAUCUCCAUCCCUAGACCGAGAUUCAACACAAGGCUCGUGUUGAAUCUAAACAAAGGUUCAUAGUCAUCCUAAGGCCCUAAGGCAACUAUAUAGUCCAUCAAAUGAAUGCAAACCUUAUGUUAGUAGUAACAUAUACUCUUGCUUUAAAAACCGUUUUAAAAGCAUAGUGGGAGUAUUAUGUACAACUAAAACAAUCAUAUGGACCAAUAGUUGUAAUAGGACCAAAAUUGUUUUAAUAGAGAUUAAAAUGUAUAUUGAUAUGUGAUGAGACCUAAAACCCUCAACCAAACCAAUAUUAAGUUGAAAGCGUGAGAGUGCUUUAGAACAUUCUUUCGUGGCCUUCCACCAUGGUAGUUCCAAUCGUUUAUGACUUGUACACCGGCUUCACCCUAUCAUGGGGAAGUACAAAGUGCAUGCUUAUACUCAGGAGGAGUUUAUAUACAUAUGAUGAGGUGAGUGUAGGCAACGAGGAUGGCCAAUAUCGUAUCAUCGUGAGGCUAUUCUUGAAACCCUUCAUGAACUAAGCAUGGUGGGAAUGACUUUAACUAAGUGCAAUGGAACCAAUAUCAUAUCAUUGUGAGGUGACAUUCUCUAGAGGCCAAAUAAGAUGGGUACUUGCAUUAGUUGCAAAUGAGUAAGCGUACUCUCUCAUUAUUAUUAAUGCUAGCCAAUAUCAUAUCAUUGUGAGGUGGGCUUGGUAGUAGUGAGCCUCCCAUAACCUACUAAGAGUUUCAUCCAAAACUCUCGAAUUCCAAUGAGGGAUAUGGAAUUUGCCAAAAAUAGUAGGUGAUGCUAUUUGAUUUAAAGACCCGAAUCAAAUGGCUUAAAAUCAAUCAAUUUAUAUACGUUAUGUAUUUGUUUACCAAUAUAUUUGCAAACGCUAUCCAACACUUGACAAAUAAAAGCCGAACGUUUAGUUUACGGACUUGGUACUACAAAACCAUAGAUUGUCUUUAAUGGCUUGUAAAUGUACCUAAGUAGUCUCAUCCUCACAAUCUUCCUAUUGAUAAUGUAUCAUUAGAAGAAUAUGUUAGAAAAGGUCUAUCAUAGAUAGGACAACACUUUUAAUGUCAUAAUUCUUCAAUUACAAAUUGUUGUAUGAAGAAAUAAGAGUUGCUUUGAACAACCCUUAGUCAAUACAAACACUUAGUGCUUAUUUCUUUGUUAAUUGAACAAAGAACUUGAGAAGUAAGCACAAGGGCAUGGACACUUUAUGUGCCAUGAUUCUUCACUUACAAAUUGUUGUAUGAAGAAAUGAGAGUUGCCUUGUACAACUCUUGAAAGUUUGUAAAUUAUGUUUUAGAACAUAAUGGUUGGUUGACAAAAAUAGUCCAUUAACAUGGACUUAUGAUGAUUUUGAAUCAUUGAGUGUUGAAGUGUUAAACCACUUAACGAGACGGAAACUAGGCAAGGACUUCACCUUUGUUUCCCUAUCCUAAUGGUUCACUAAGUUUAUGGUAAACUAUGUAGUGAACAAUAACCACAUACUCUCCAAAUUGUUUGAUGUGUAUAACACAAUUGAAAAAGGUUUCAAGAGAGAUAGUGGGAGUUUAGGGACCAUGACUAAUGUGUAGUCAAAGGUGAAAGUCAAAUAAAGAAGAUAAAUAACUCCAAGGGAACAAACUUUCUUUAUGAAAGGAUGGACAUUGGAAGGGGUAUUUGCAAGAAAUGUCUUGCAAGUGUCAAGAACACACCUUUCGAAGGUGUUGUAAAUUGUUCUUGAAUAGUUCAAAACAGUUGGUUUUCUUCUACUUGAAUGUAUGAUUCCGUAUUAGUAACUAUGUUUUACAAAUCGUUGUAAAAGUGUGACUAAUAAGAAGUAGAAGAUAUAUGAGAGAAGAAAAGGUGCUUCACAUACGGAACGUGAAUAAGAUAUAGAUCUCUGCGAAAGCAGAUAGUACUUACUUCCUCAUAUGAACUACCAAAGAAAUUGGAUUAUAGUAAUCUAAUUGAUUGUCUCUAUAGUAGAGAUGAUAUGGUAGUGUUAACUGUUUAGAAUAUAAUGAUGCUUAAAACCCAAAAGGUUGCAAGGUAGUGACUAAUCCCAACUAAAUUGUGAUACCUCUAAAACAUAAGUUACGAGUUGGUGAAACAAGGAUGCUUUGGAUCGUUAGAUCCGGAUCCAAUACCUUCUUGUUAAAAUUGUAUAGAGGCGAAAUGUUCGAAUCUUUAUUCUUUUGGAAAGAAGAAAGAAUCACAAAGUUGUUGAGGUUAAUUCACUUAGAUGUUAGUGGCACUUGUCACAACAUAAUACUACUCAUGUUAUAUGACAUUCACCGAAGAUCACUCUCGGUUGGACUAUAGUUUAUUUUGAAUAAACACAAGUCUGAAUACUUUGCAAAAGGUUUCAAAGAAUUCAAGAAAUGUAAAUAGAUGAGUAAGAUAUCUAAAGUAUUUACCUCCUUAGAUUUGAUCCAAGGAAAGGUAACACUUUAGAUGAGUUUCCUUGAAAGAUAUCAAGGAAAAUAGCAUCAUAAGAUAAUGUAUUUCUCCAUUAGGAGAAAGAACGAACUCAAAUAAGAUUUAGUUCGUUAGAUGUUAUCUAUUACCCAUAUAUAUAGGAUAUAUACUUCUAAAACAAUAAGAUUGUCAAUUAGAAGAUCUUCCAAAAUUUUCAUAACUCCAUAAGAUGUAGUUAGAAAGAAAGACAAAUCUUAAGCAUGUUAAAGAUUUGAGGUUGUGUGCUAAUAAGCAAUAUUUGUUUGAUAACAAUCUUGUGGGAUAUCCUUAAAUUAACUUUUGGAUAUCGCUUCUAUAAACCAACUAACAAAUGUUGUUUUGUUGGGUAGUUCAUUGUAAUCCUACAAUGUGAUUUGCCUAAGAGCAAAUGAACGAGAGAUAGAACUCAAAGAAUGGGUUCUUUGAGAGACAAGAAAGUAAUCAACAAAUAUAACAACCUAGUUCCUAUACCAAAGCUCCAAGGUAGUCGAGAAGGAUUUAUAAACCGUCUCAGUUGAAUGGUUUGAACUUUAUGACUAUGUCAUAGAGUUGCACCUCUUAAUUCGAAAGAAAUAAGAAUGAAAAUCCUUAUGACUACAUUGAGUGUAUAUAUGAUAUAUACUCAAGGAAAUGGUAAAGUACCAUUUGACCCGAAAUAAUGAAACCUUCAUAAGCUAAUUGGUAGCUUAAGGUGACUACAAUCAAAGAGAAUGGUUGACUUUGAAGAAACCAUCUUUGAGAUAGUCUUAGUUUCAAUUAAUUCGAAGAUUGCUAGCUACAACUAAAUGGUGAUUCAAUGUUUGGACAUAAUAUGGGUUUCCGAAACCAUUAUUAAGAUAGUCUUGAUAAUAUAUGUCUAAAACUAAAAAUCACAAGACAUGUAAGUUGUAGAGAUCCAUCCAUCAUGAAUCUUAGCAAGCUAGUGGGAGCUAUAUGCGUCUUAUGAGAGAAAGAUCAAAUCGUUUGAUUUCUCAUAAAGAUAUAAAUGAAUCUUUUGUUUACUAGGUUUACAAAAGAUUAGUGGGAGUUAAUCAUGUUCCUAAAAUUAAAAUAUAUAUGAUAUAUUAAUUUUGGAAAUGAAAAGAAUACUUCUUCGUUAAUGUUAUGACUUUAAGCAUUCUAUAAAGAUAGAAUGUAUAUGGGAAACAUAGUCUGUAUACAUGGGAUGGAAAUCUAUAUUGAUAGAUUUUAGGAUAUAAUUGGAUUAUAUCAUACCCUAAUAAUAGACAAAAUAUGCUAGGAAGUCUUUCAUAUGAUGAUAAACUUCAAUUAGGAGGACAAUUCUAGUUGGACUAAGAAGUUGCUCUUCUCAAAGAGAACGUACUCUUUGACUCCCAAAGAAAUAAUGCGUAAAUAGAAUCCUUUAUACAUACGCAGAAAGGUGAUUUAUGUAUUUCAUAUUGUAUGAAAAACAUUGAUAUGAGUUGUACCUAGAACGGUACAAGACGAUAUCAGUGCAAGCCCCGGAUCAGAACCAUGGCAACUGUCAAGUGAGUCCUUAAGUAUUUAAGAAAUACUAAAGGAUAUAUUCCUCAAAGAAUGUUGAAGAAUUAGAGUAACGUAAUGGAAGUGUAAAUGUAUUAGAUCAUAGGAUUGUCAAUUGGGCAUUGACAGUCCGUAAAGAUCGGUACGUACUAUGUCUUCUCUCAGGGAGAGUGAUUAGUCUCGAGUCAUUGGUGUGUGUGACAUCAAGACAAGUACGUAGGUGCUCAAUAGAGAAUGAGUACACUGAACGUGAUCAACGAAGAGUUCUUAUAUUCCAUGUCACAUGAGAACUCAUGGUUGGGAUAAUGCAAAGUAGUCAUUUGACCUGAGGCAUCACAGUUGUCUUGUGGUUAAGUCCUUGAUCUUUGAUUAUGUCAAAGUCACCCUCUCGGGGUGUCCACGGCAUCGUUGGGAUUAAGCCACUUAGCUAUGGAGACAAGUGAAUGCGCAACAAGGGAUCUCUAACCUUCAAACAGUUGAGGGAGAAUACUCUAUGAUAUGAUUUGGAAUCUCUGGCCAGAGUAUGAAUGAGAUUAGGGAAUGCGUUCCAAAUCACAUUCAAGGAAAUCAUAUAAGCACACGAAUCACAUUGGAUAGUAGACAUGAAUAAAUAAACUAUCAUACCAAACAAUGUGGUCAAGAGUAUUAGAUUAGAGAAGGACCGUAUUGCAUUUGUAAUCCCAAACUGAAUAGGUUCUCUAUCCUCUUCUGAUUAGCUUGGGUAACCAUGAUAUGCUGCUAGGUGUCACUCAUGGUUUGUGGAAGCCCUAAACGUGUGUAAUCACUAAAGGGAGAAUUGAAAAUAGUUUCAAUUCACAAUCGAUGUAAAAUGGUUUUAAUCGCCCACUACCUCGCUAAAAGGAACCUAAUGGAUCGCACACCAUAAAAGGUGGAGAUUGAAGAUUAAACUGAAAUGAGUAAGAAUGAUUAAAUGGUUUAAUCAUUUAUUUAUGGCAAGGAUUAAUUAAUAUGUUAAUUAAUCAAACGAAUAAGUUCGUUAAAGACCUCGGGAUAGUUUUGGACCUUAAGGCCCAAUGGGCUUCGAACGUCAAGCCCAUUGACUUAAGUUGUAUGACAACUUAAUGAAUAAAGAUUCACAAAGGCCCAAAAGCCCAAAAAUCCCAAGGUAGGCCGGCCAUGUAUGAUGAAUUAGGGUUUUGGUUCUUUAGGUCACUUAUUUGAAGGGACUAUAAAAAGGACUUUAUAGCCAUAUAUUCAUUAAGUGAUUAAGGGUUUAUUUUGGGGAAAAUGGGUGAGAAUUGUCUCUCCAUUUUCUCUCUAAAGAGGCCAACACCUUGGAGGGUACAUCUAGCAAUCCUACUACUCUAAGGUCACUCAUUUCUUCUACAAUCAAACCUUGGUGAAGAGACUUAGAGGUUCCCUAUUUUUGGGAACUUGGAGAAACCUAUUUUUCCAUCCAAAUCCAUGGAUCUAAGAAGCAAGGAAUGAAGGCCCUAUCUCUUUGGGUGAUUAGCCUUUGCUUAUGCAAAGAGGAAUCUACAAAGGUAAUAAUUUCAACUCACUUUGUUUUGAGUUGAUUAUUGGUUCACCAAUCUACUAGGCUUUGAAUUUCAUGGUAAUGUUUUGUUUUUGAGUGCAUGCAAGCAUGAUUCCGCCUUUAAUUGUUAAUUGCAUGCUAUAUGAUGUUGCUCAAAUGAACAUGUUUUUCAAAAUAAAUCCUUUAAUUUUGGCACGCCCGGUGGGACCCAGUGCUAAACUACGAAGUUCAUGCCAAUUGAAACACGAUUGGUAAAAAAGAAAACAACUAUGGGAAAAUCAACAGCCGAUUUACCAACUCAGAACAUAGGACACAGUGUGCCACAGGCGCAGAAUCCCAUCAGCGCCAUAACACUUGAGUCCACGAGCGCAACUCGCCGAGAAAGGGAAGUUAAUCUUGGCGGUCAGUUUAGCAGCCUCGAAAUCCCCGACAGGAAUACCUGCGUCCUCAAUGAAGGGAUAAUAGAGGAUUGUGAUGAAGAUGGUGGCGAAGGAUCUGAUCCACCAACAAGGUCGUUUCUUCGAAAACGGCUUGACGAGCAAUCUCGAACGGUUGAACAGACGUUUAGUCGAGGAAUCGAUAAACUUCAUGAUGUGAUACGCAAUACCAGUGAGGCACAAACCAGAUUACUUGAAAUACUGGUUAGUAAGGUCAGCGACGAUAGAACUUUCGAUCUUGCCCAGCAUUUGCCACCAAGGAAUAAUCUAUUACCAAGUGCACCGGCCGAGCCAAUCCCUGCUCGGCUCAAACCAAUUAACUUGGAGAGAGGAGGAGGAUCGAAUAGUAGGUCAGACGGAUCCGACCAGAGAGUGGAAGCAACACCCGUCGAUAUGACCGAGGUCCAACAGAUGAUCGAUUCGGCCAUGAAGAAAGGGUCAAAGUUCCCUAAGUUUAUACACCCGUAUCCAGCUUAUGUGGAACAGUUCGAAUACCCUAGAGGUUUCAAAAUCCUGGAUUUUAGCCUUUUUGCCGGAGAAUCAUCCUUAUCCUCGUUAGAACAUGUAGCUCGUUUCACUGCGCAAUGCGGAGACGUCAAUAGUGACUUUCACAAGCUGCGACUUUUCAAUUUCUCGCUGACCGGUUCAGCGUUCGCUUGGUAUAUCAACCUCUCACCGAAUUCCAUCCAGAGCUGGGAGGAGUUGGUCGAGAAAUUUCAUGAGCAGUUUUAUCGGUCGAGGAUGGAAAUGUCAGUAUCCUCGCUAGCAAUGAUGGCUCAGGCAUCCGACGAGUCACCAAUGGAUUAUCUUACCAGAUUUAAAUCAGCCAGGAAUUGGUGUCGAGUAAUUCUCCCCGAAGUCGAAUUCGUCAGACUUGCUCUGAACGGUCUUGACGUCGAAUAUAAAAAGAAAUUCUUGGGGGAAAACUUUCGGGAUAUGUAUGAAUUAGCCCAACAUGUCGAGCAGUAUGAUUAUUUGCUCCGCGAGGAAAAGAUUUCGAAAGCUCCAUCUCAAGGGACAAUUUACAAGAAUCCCGCUGUCAAUUAUGCAUCGACUGAGGAUGAAUGCGUUAGCGUGGAUGCAGCUGAGAUAGUGAUAGAUAAGCCAUACGUUUGCAAGGCACUGACUGAAGUUGACUCUAAGGAAGUCAACCCGCUCUCCCACUGAAGGAACACUGAAACAGUCAAAAGUUUAUACUUUUGAUAUUACAAAAGCCGAUGCAAUUUUUGAUCAACUGUUAUUAGCGAGGAUCAUCAAACUUCUGCCUGGGCACAACAUUCCCAAGGCCGAAGAGCUUAAAGGAAAGAUAUAUUGCAAAUACCAUAAUUCAAGCAAACAUCCGACAAACAAUUGCGUCGUGUUUCGAGACAACGUCCAAAGCUGGAUUGAUAAUGGCAAACUGAGAUUUCCAGAGAAAAAGAUGAGCGUUGAUACUGACCCGUUCCCCACGGCAAUAGUAAAUAUGGUCGAUGCGUGCCUACCUAAGGACAAAGGGAAAGGGAAGGCCGAAGCUAUUGCGACGUAAUACUUUUAGAAUCAGAACUCUCGGCCACGUUUCAUGGGCGAUUUUCGUUCAAACGAACCACCUACAGCUUUAACGGGACCCGCUAUUGUCAAGCCUAUGAUAGAUUACAACACUGAUGAAGACAAUGGGACGGCGGUUUUAUGCAGUAAAUGUAGAGCAAAGGUCAACAUUGAGCCAGAGGGAAAGUCCUCUCCGCUUAUAAUGGAACAACCUACAACCGCAACCCAACAAAAGGUGACCAGCGUAGGCCAACAUCAAGGGGUUUUUGAUAGGCUCGGUCCUAAAGUGAGGAUGGAAGAGACACCUUCAGUCAGACGGUGCCUCAAUUUUGAUGCUUCAUUUUAUGACGAGGACUACUAUAUACCUAACUCUAGCAGCUCGGAAUCAUCGCGGAGCCAAAAAACUUUCAAACUCCCGAACCUAGAGACCAACGUUGGUAUACAUAUCACUAUUCGAAAGGCGUCUACACCGCACUGUCCAAAUCCCAGAAACGUCGGCACCAAAGAAUAGAUUGCAUGGCCCGCCGACGGGCAGCCCAAGAAACUUCGGUCCCUAAAUGGCGGCCGAAGGACACAAUUGUCACCGACGAUGAACGACCACCUCCAUCGAUUAUGACUGAGUUGGUUCAAGGGAAACGGCUGGUCAAUCAAGAUAUCGAAACCACGUUCGAAGAGGCUGAUAAACGGAUCAAACUUCUUCUUUGGCUUGGGGAGAUGAAGGCACGUCUCGAGCAUUUUAGGCAAGAAGCUGAAAGCAAAUUGACCCCGCCAGCCACAUAAGAGCCUUUGAUCAAAAUUCGACGGAAUUUACAUCCACCAUUCCUCGGGAAGGCCUUGGAAUAUAUGCGAAAGUUUCAUAAGAAACAUUUGGCCAACGAUUUGUAUGGUUUGCCGAAAGCAUGUCAGGACACAAUAGAUCUUGUCCUAACUUGCCCAGAUGCCGAGCAAAUCAUUCAGAGGACUUCAGACCCAAGAUUGAAGCUAGGUUCCAGCACAUACGGGAAGCUCGUGUCCUUGGUUUUGAAGUCGACCCAUAUACUGACAUCGAUGCAACUGACCUUCCUUUCUCCAUGGAGAACCUUCAAUAUUUACGAUACCACUUCGAAGUUUUUUCGGCCGUUUCUCUCUUCGGCCUCACGGUCGAUGAAAUAGCACGAGUUGUACGGUUGGAUGCCUACCUCGACACCAGGGAUGCCCGUAUAAUGUACCAAGAGCAAGCUCGUAUCCUGGCGUCAAUCCCAGAUGCAAUUCCGAUUUCAGACGCACCAGAGGUAUCUGCACAGAACAAAUAGGCUUCCGAAGAGACACUGCGAGAACAAACCAUUGAUGAAGGCGCAGAAGAAUCUCUUAGUACUACUCCACUGCAAGUAGAUGCCGCAGUCGGUGACCAGGAACGAGAAGAGGCGGACGAGGAUGAUGGUAACCCGAUGGGCCCGUCGGUCUUGGAUAACAUGGAAAUCAGUAUGGUCCAUGUUUUGCCCGCUGAUUUUCAGUCGAGCACAUCCCAACCAAAUUUCCUUGAUGGUGACGUAAUUACCGAGGAAGUCGGUCACAUUGAUUUUGUAACUGUUGCUAAUGACGACUCGACAACAAAAGAUGACAACAUCAAAGCAGCUUUGGCCGAAUUGUUUCCUCGCGCAUCAUCGGCCAAACUUCAUCAUUUAAAGCCAUUGUAUGUCACGACCCAUAUCGAAGGGUAUCCAGUCUCCAAAGUUUUUGUCGACUGUGGAGCCACGGUCAAUAUCAUGCCUGUACACAUCAUGAAGGCGUUACGUAGCUCCAAUGACGAACUUAUUCCCUCCGGGAUCACAAUAAGCAGUUUUGUCGGAGACAAAUCCUAAACCAAACGGGUGCUUCCUUUAACGGUAAAUAUUGCUGGCCGUAAUCACAUGACCGCCUUUUUUAUCGUCGACUCCAAGAUCGAGUAUAAUGCAUUGCUCGGUCGAGACUGGAUUCAUCAAACCAGCUGUAUUCCUUCAUCAUUAUAUCAAGUGCUAGUUUUCUAGGACGGCAAAUCGGUCAUCGUUCACCCGGCCGAUAGUUAGCCCUUCGAAACUAACAUGAUCCAAGCACGGUAUUAUGAUGACCACGUCGACUAUAUCACCCUACAGGGUUUCAAUGACGAAGGACGGCCGACUCAGAUUUCUGUUCAAAAAGCUAUCGAGGUUGGCGCCGAAACUGUCCACCAGGAUUCGGCGAGGCUCGGUUUAGCUAAUUUCAUCCCCAACCCCGAUGUUUGACACCGAUCGGGAAACACGUAGGGUCGCGGUUUCAUCUACUAUGGAACGCCUGCUGGCCCAUUGGUAUAUUAUAUCUAAAUAACCAAAUUCGGGCGUUAACCUCGUUGAGUUCCUUACCGAAGAAGAUAAUGGUCCUGUCUUAUCUCUUAACAAAAUUCAAGCCGCCCCGGCUGAGCUCGAAGAUAAUCGGCCUCAAGUCAAAGAUCCCUGAGAGGAACUUAAUGUUGGGACGGCCGAUGACACACGGCUUUUAUUUGUUAGUGCUUUACUUCCCCAACCUAUGAAGGCCGAACUUCGUGCCCUGCUUGAGGAAUUUAAAGAUUGUUUUACUUGAAGCUAUCAAUAAAUGCCUGCCUUAUAUCGUACUCUCGUCGAGCAUGAGUUGCGUAUUAAACCUGGGUGUAAACCUUUCCGUCAACCACCUCGACGCUUCUCGACCGAAGUGCAACUCGGUAUCAAGGAUGAACUAGUUUGGCUUUUGAAAGCUGGGUUCAUUCGGACAGCUCGAUAUGUUGAAUGGUUGGCCACUAUCGUUCCUGUUUUAAAGAAAAAUGGUGCAUUGCGCAUUUGCAUCAAUUUCAGAAAUCUGAAUCUGGCAACUCCCAAAGAUGAGUAUACAAUGCCGAUUUUGGAUAUGUUAAUCGAUGUCGUGGCGAAUCAUGCGAUCUUAUCUUUUAUGGAUGGACAUGCCGGGUACAACCAAAUUUUCAUUGCCGAAGCUGAUGUGCACAAAACUGCUUUUCGCUGCCCGGGGACACUCGGCACUUACGAAUGGGUUGUUAUGCCAUUCGGCCUCAAAAACGCCGACGCCACAUACCAACGGGCAAUGAACACCAUAUUUCAUGAUUUAAUUGGAACCAUCGUCGAAGUCUAUAUCGACAAUGUUGUAAUUAAAUCCAAACAACGGCGGACUCAUCUGGAUGAUCUCCGACAGGCUUUCCUCCGUAUGCGUCAACACAAUCUCAAAAUGAAUCCUGCCAAAUGUGCAUUCGGUGUGUCGGCCGGUAAUUUUCUCGGUUUCCUAGUGCAUCAUCGUGGGAUUGAAGUGGACAAAAAUAAAGCACGUGCAAUCAUCAGUGCUCUACCCCCGACGACAAAGAAACAACUGCAGUCCUUACUCGGUCAGAUAAAUUUUCUCCGCCGAUUUAUAGCUAACUCGGCAGGUAAAAUGAAAGCGUUCUCGACGCUUGUGAAACUUAAGGACUUAGAUAAAUUUGAGUGGACCGACGAGCAUCAGGCAGCGUUUACACAAAUCAAAGUCUCCCUCACGACACCACCUGUCCUUGUUCGACCCCGGCGCGGUAAACCUCUCAAACUAUAUAUCUCGACGGCUGAAGAGUCCAUCGGCUGCUUCCUCGCCCAAGAUAACGAUGUUGGGCGGGAGCAGGCUAUUUUUUACCUCAGUCAAAAUCUUACUCAACCAGAAAUCAAUUAUUCUGCCAUUGAGAAGCUCUGUCUCGCCGUGUUCUUCGCCGCCUCUAAGCUGCGGCAUUACAUGCUUCCGUCGGUCACACAAGUCAUUGCCCAGACCGACGUUAUCCGGUACAUGCUUACCUGGCCAAUCGUAAAAGGCCGAAUUGGGAAAUGGACAAUGGCGUUGUCCGAGUUUAGCUUACAAUAUGUACCCCAGAAAGCUGUCAAAGGCCAGGGAUUGGCAGACUUCCUUGCUCAAGACUCUUCCCCCUACGGUUUUGGGGACACCGACGUUGAAAUCGGCAUGGUUGAAACACGCGACAACUACUGGAUGAUGUAUUUUGACGGUUCAAGUACUUCUUCCUCGACCGACAUGGGCAUUGUCAUUCAAUCUCCCAACCACGAUCGUUGGUAUUUUUCGCUCAAGUUGGAUUUCGACUACACCAAUAAUUAGGCCGAAUACGAAGCCAUUAUCAUCGGCCUUGGCCUCCUUCAUGACUUGCAGGCCCCCCGUGCCCUCAUCCUCGGUGACUCUGAACUUGUGAUUAACCAACUUAAUGGGUCUUUUCGAUGCAUGAGUUGCACACUGGCACCCUACCAUAUGGCCGCCAGCUAUUUGGCCAAAUCUUUUGACGUUAUCACAUUUGAACAUAUUUCUCGGAUCCAUAAUACCGACGUAGACGAGUUGGCUCAAAUCGCCUUCGGUGCGCAACUCCUGGGGGGCAAGCUAGGCCGAGAAAUACCCGUGUUACGACAGCUACACCCGGCUUUGGUUAACCAGCAAGUCCUCUGACGCGACAACGUGAUACGCACUAGAGUCAUGUCCUUACCCUCGUUGCUAGACCGACAGGACCCUAUAGAGGUUUGUGCCGUCGAGGCAAUACCAUAUGAUUGGAGAAAGCCCAUUAUGCAAUACCUUGACAAUCCCAAUGGCAAACAUAGCCGCAAGACACGAGUUCACGCCACAAACUAUGUCACGUAACAAAAUGAGCUAUACCGCAAGGGCGAGGAUGGUCUAUUACUGCUAUGCCUCGGCCCCCAGGAGAGUGCUCAGGUAAUCACAGAAGUCCAUGAAGGGAUUUGCGGAGCUCAUCAGUCCGGACGAAAAAUGCGGUGGUUACUUCGACGACACGGUUAUUUUUGGCCACGAAUAUUGAAGGAUUGUAUCGAGUUCGCACGAGGGUGCAUAAAGUGUCAGAUUCAUGGUCCUAUAUAGCGGGUCCCGGCUGAAUUAUUACAUUCGGUCACUAAACCAUGGCCGUUUAGAGGAUGGGCCAUGGACGUAAUCGGCAAAAUCACACCAUCUUUCGGGGCUGCCAAACACGCAUGGAUACGGGUAGCAACCGAUUACUUCAUUAAGUGGGUCGAAGCUAAGUCAUAUGCCGAGCUAACAACUAUAGAAGUUUACGACUUUGUGGAAGAACACAUUGUGACCAGAUUCGGUGUACCAGAAACGAUUAUAACAGAUAACGGCACAAUCUUUACAGCUGAGAGGUUUAGAGAAUAUACGGCGAGUUUGAAAAUCCGACUUGAACAAUCUACACCGUAUUAUCCACAUGAAAAUGGGCAGGCCGAGGCAAGUAAUAAAGUGUUGAUCGGCAUUCUUGAGAAAAUAAUAAAGGAAAGGCCCGGCAUGUGGCAUUUAAAGUUGAAUGAGGCUUUGUGGGCAUAUCGAACAUCACCACGAUCGGCAACCGGAACAACCCCGUAUGCAUUAACCUAUGGCCACGAUGCAAUGUUACCAGUCGAGUUAAGCAUAAAUUCGAUGCGACUAAUUGAACAAAGUAGUUUGUUCAGCGCCGAAUAUAAUCAGUCCAUGAGACAGGAGUUAGAAGAUUUAAAGGAAGCGCGACUUGAUGCCUAUAACUUAUUGGUGGCACAAAAAAGGAUUGCCGAGCGCGCCUAUAACCAAACGGUAUGACAUAAAACAUUUGGCGAGGGAGAAUUGGUUUGGCCAACGGUGUUGCCAGUAGGACUAAAGGACCCUAGGUUCGGCAAAUGGUCGCCAAAUUGGGAAGGGCUGUACAUUGUACAUAAAAUAUACGGCAAAUGGGCAUAUCAUCUUAGAGACUAGACCGGUUUAGUUCACAAAUUACCAAUCAAUGGGAAAUUUUUAAAGAAAUACUAUCCGGUCACAUGGGAAAUGCGGGAAUAGAAAAUCAGUUCAUUAAGAUCGAAACGAGUACAUACAAAUUGAACAAGUCGAUCGGUUUAUAUUUAAAUACAUUCAAGGUGAAGAAGGAAGAAGAGUGCCGAGAAGGGCCUUCAACUCCAACCACCGCACCUCGCCCAUUAUGACCUCGGCCUGCCGGUUCUUUUUGUCCAUUUUUAACUGCUCGACCCGUUUUAUGCUCGCCGCAUACUCGGUUAAGCAAGCUUUGUCGCCCGACUCGAAGUCCUUAGCAAGCUCGGAAGCAAUAACCGAUCUUCGUUUCAAUAAUUCGGCCAUUUGACGGUCGAGGUCGGGCAAGGCCUUUCCUUUUGCCUUUAAAGCAUCAAUCUUUGGACGGAGAGUGUCUCGGACGGCCAUGGUAGCUUGCAGGUCUUGUUCAUGUUGGAAAUGUGCCCUAAAGCCAAUCAUGUGAUGAUACUUUACGGACAUUUCACAUGUUAAACUAAUCUAGUUUUACAUAUAAAGGGCAUACAUUAUUGUUUGAGCCGUCUCAUAUAAAUGUUAUAUGCUUAAACGAUAAAGUCCAAGGAAUAUGUGAUUGGGAUAAUGUAAUCUAAUGAAGUUAGAUUCAUGAGACCAUUCUUUCAUAGACACAUCCUAAACGUUCCUGAUCAUAGGAUUGCCAAUUGGGCGUUGACAGUCCGUUAAGAUCAGUACGUACUAUGUCUUCUCUCAGGGAGAGUGAUUAGUCUCGAAUCAUUGGUGUGUGUGACAUCAAGACAAGUACGGUAGGUGCUCAAUAGAGAAUGAGUUCACUGAACGCGAUCAACGAAGAGUUCUCAUAUUCCAUGUCACAUAAGAACUCAUGGUUGGGAUAAUGCAAAGUAGUCCUUUGACCUGAGGCAUCAUAGUUGUCUUGUGGUUAAGACCUUGAUCUUUGAUUAUGUCAAAGUCAUCCCACCAGGAGGGUGUCCACGGCAUCGUUGGGGUCAAGCCGCUUAGCUAUGGAGACAAGUGAAUGCGCAACAAGGGAUCUCUAACCUUCAAACCGUUUGAAGGAGAAUACUCUCUGAUAUGAUUUGAAUCUCUGGCCAGAGUAUGAAUGAGAUUUGGGAAUGCGUUCCUAAAUCACAUUCAAGGUAAUCAUAUAAGCACAAGACACACAUUGGAUAGUAGACAUGAGAAAAUAAACUAUCAAACCAAACAAUGUGGUCAAGAGUAUUAGAUUAGAGAAGGACCGUAUUGCAUUUGUAAUCCCUAACUGAAUAGGUUCUCUAAACCUCUUCUGAUUAGCUUGGGUAGCCAUGAUAUGCUGCUAGGUGUCACUCAUGGUUUGUGGAAGCCCUAAACGUGUAUAAUCACUAAAGGGAGAAUUGAAAAUAGUUUCAAUUCACAAUCGAUGUUAAAUGGUUUUAAUCGCCCACUACCUCGCUAAAAGGAACCUAAUGGAUCGCACACCGUGAAAGGUGGAGAUUGGAGAUUAAACGGAAAUGAGUAAGAAUGAUUAAAUGGUUUAAUCAUUUAUUUAUGGCAAGGAUUAAUUAAUAUGUUAAUUAAUCAAACGAAUAAGUUCGUUAAAGACUUCGGGAUAGUUUUGGACCUUAAGGCCCAAUGGGCUUCGAACGUCAAGCCCAUUAACUUAAGUUGUAUGACAAUUUAAUGAAUAAAGAUUCAUUAAAGCCCAAAAGCCCAAAAAUCCCCUAAAUGGCCAGCCAUGAUGAAAUGAAUUAGGGUUUUGGUUGUUUAGGUCACUUAAAGAAGUGACUAUAUAAAUGAUUUUAUAGCCAAAUAUUCAUUAAGUGAAUUAAGGGUUUAUUUUUGGGGAAAAUAGGUGAGAAUUGUCUCUCCAUUUUCUCUCUAAAGAGGCCAACACCUUGGAGGGUACAUCUAGCAAUCCUACUACUCCAAGGUCACUCAUUUCUUCUACAAUCGAACCUUGGUGUCGAGAAUUAGAGGUUCUCAAUUUUGGGAACUUGGAGAACCUAUUCUUCCAUCCAAAUCCAUGGAUCUAAGAAGCAAGGAAUGAAGUUCCUUAUCUCUUUGGGUGAUUAGCCUUUGCUUAUGCAAAGAGGAAUCUACAAAGGUAUUAAUUUCAACUCACUUUGUUUUUGAGUUGAUUAUUGGUUCACCAAUCUACUAGGCUUUGAAUUUCAUGGUCAUGUUUUGUUUUUGAGUACAUACAAGCAUGAUUCCGCCCUUUAAUUGUUAAUUGCAUGCUAUAUGAUGUUGCUCAAAUGAACAUGUUUUACAAAAUAAUUCCUUCAAGUGGUAUCAGAGCCUAGGUCUAGUAGUUGGUGAAUCCUUUUGUGUUUUGUAGUUCAUAAGUUUGUGAUCUAAAAGUUGUAAUUGUUACAAGCUUUAUUCUUGCUUCUUUGAAAGUAAAUUUUGUUGGAAAAUUUGCUAUCUCAAAUGUUGUAGAUGUUGUUCAUAUGAGCAUGAAUAUUGGAGCUAAAAUUUGGUGCCAUGCUUUUGGGAAAAUUCGGCCAAAAUCAAAGGGUGAUUUUUUGGGUUCUUGUUUGACUUGUUAAAAGUGUUUUAAUGUGUUCUUUGGAACCCCUAAGUACCCUAGUUUGGUUAGAUGUUAUUUCCCUUAAGUAAGAAUGGUUUUGGAAUGUUUUUGGGUGGAAAAAGUUCAUGGAAAAAUUUGGGUUUUUCAUGGAUGUUCUUCAUUGUUCUUGAUGUUCUUGCCAAGAACAAAAGGGUUUAGUGUUUUGAUUCAAAGUUUUGAUUUAUUUCAUAAAGUAUAUGUGAUAUGUUUUUUAAAUGUUUUAUCAUGUAUUUAAAGUGUUAGAUAUUUGUAUAAAUGAUGAUUGAAAUAAUUGUGAUUGAAUUAUUUCAAAAACUUAUCUUACAUACACUUGCAUGCUUUUGACAAAACUCACAAAUCAACACACACACCAACCUCAUCCUCUCCCUAAAACAGGCCACUCCCUCAAAGGGAGUACUUUUGGGGCUUUUAUGCAAUUACAUAAAGUUUUGAUACUUUUGUGUAUUUGCACUUUGGCCCAAAAGUUUACGUUUUUACGUUUAGGUCCAAAAACGCUAAAGGACAAAUUGUUUUGAUCCUUUAAUGAUGUUUUUGCAUUAUUAAAAGUUUGGGUUCUAGUUGUAUUUACAUGAAGUUGUGACUUUUGUGUAUUAUACAAAGUGACCCCAAAAGUUUUUUAUUGCAAUAUGGCCCAAAAGUUGAGGUUAAUUGCAUGAUGGCCCAAAUAGGAUGAGAACAAAAUUGUUUUGUCUCUUUAAAUGAGAAUUGGAUUUUCAUUUUGUUUAGCUCCAUUUAAAUCAAUUUUAUGGAUACAAAAACCAAAUGAAAAUGUUGCAUUCAUUUAAUUAGUUAAAGUGUUAAUUAAUUAAAGGAUGAUUAUGAACCUAAGCCUAAUAUAAUUGAGCUAUGUGAAAGGCGUUUCAAAUUUGUUUGAACCAUGGGAAUGUGUAGAUUAGAUUUUGGUUGUAAUUUGAUUUGAUCAAAUGUUGUAAAAGGGCUUAAGCUCUUCUUUACUUUAAAGUAAUUUGUUAUAUGCAAAUGUUGUAAUGAGCAUAAGCUCACCUUUACUUUGAAGUACUUCUUUCUUGCUUUAUAUGAUAUGCAUGAAAAUGAAGUAGUUGGGUCCAACGCCCAUAAGACAACACGCCUUAAUGUGAUUAAACGCGUAACUAAAAUCAAUCUUCAUUCCUAGACCGAGGUUCAACACAAGGCUCGUGUUGAAUCUAAACAAAGGUUCAUAAUCAUCCUUAGGCCCUAAGGCAACUAUGUAGUCCAUCAAAUGAAUGCAAAGUUUAUGUUAGUAGUAUCAUAUACUCUUGCUUUAAAAAAUCGUUUUAAAAAGCAUAGUGGGAGUAUUAUGUACAACUAAAACAAUGAGAUGGACCAAUAGUUGUAAUAGGACCAAAAUAGUUUUAAUAGAGAUUAAAAUGUAUGUUUAUAUGUGAUGAGACCUAAAACCCUCAACCAAACCAAUAUUAAGUUGAUAAGCGAGAGAUGUUUAGAAUAUCUCUUCGUGGCCUUCCACCGUGGUGGGAUCCAAUCGUUUAUGACUUGUACACCGGCUUCACCCUAUCAUGGGGGAGUACAAAGUGCAUGCUUAUACUCAGGAGGAAUCCAUAUACAUAUGAUGAGGUGAGUGUAGGCAACGACGAUAGCUAUACAUCGUAUCAUCGUGAGGCUAUUCUUGAACCCCUUCACACACUAAGCAUGGUGGGAAGAACUUAACUAAGUGAAAUGGAGCCAACAUCAUAUCAUUGUGAGGUGACAUUCUCUAGAGGCCAAAUAAGAUGGGUACUUGCAUUAGUUGCAAAUGAGUAAGUGUACUCUCUCAUUAUUAUUGUUGCUAGCCAUACAUCGUAUCAUCGUGAGGUGGGCUUGGUAAUAGUGAGCCUCCCAUAACCUACUAGGAGUUUCAUCCAAAACUCUCGAAUUCCUAUGAGGGAUAUGGAAUUUGCCAAAAAUAGUGGGUGGUGCUAUUUGAUUUAAAGACCCAAAUCAAAUGGCUUAAAAUCAAUCAAUUUAUAUUCGUUAUGUAUUUGUUUACCAAUAUAUUUGCAAACGCUAUCCAACACUUGACAAAACCGAAUGUUUUAGUUUCUGGACUUAGGUACCACAAUCCCAAAGAAUGUCUUAAAAUGAUUGCAUAUGUAUCUAAGUAGUCUCAUCCUCACAAUCUUAUAUUGAUAAUGUAUCAUUAGAAGAAUAUGUUAGAAAAGGUCUAUCAUAAAGAGGACAACACUUUUAAAUGUCAUAAUUCUUCAAUUACAAUUUGUUGUAUGAAGAAAUAGGAGUUGCUUUGAACAACUCUUAGUCAAUACAAACACUUAGUGCUUGUUUCUUUAUUAAAUGAACAAAGAACUUGAGAAGAAAGCACAAAGGCAUGGACACUUUAUGUGCCAUGAUUCUUCACUUACAAUUUGUUGUGUGAAGAAAUAAGAGUUGCCUUGUACAACUCUUUAAAGUUUGUAAUUAUGUUUAGAACAUAAUGGUUGGAUGACAAAAAUAGUCCAUUAACAUGGACUUAUGAUGAUUUUGAAUCAUUGAAUGUUGAAGUGAUAAACCACUUAACGAGACGGAAACUAGGCAAGGACUUCACCUUUGUUUCCCUAUCCUAAUCAUUCACUAAGUUUAUUGUAAACUAUGUAGUGAAAAAUAACCACAUGCUCUCCAAAAUGUUUGAUGUGUAUA
RNAcentral lists this long non-coding RNA (37480 nucleotides) under Malus domestica (apple). RNAcentral's name for it is "long non-coding RNA (MDOM_LNC019991)". The record is from RNAcentral. Lineage: Eukaryota; Viridiplantae; Streptophyta; Magnoliopsida; Rosales; Rosaceae.